Molecule: long non-coding RNA, 203 nt
Filed under: Eucalyptus grandis
Lineage: Eukaryota; Viridiplantae; Streptophyta; Magnoliopsida; Myrtales; Myrtaceae
Description: long non-coding RNA (EGRA_LNC003964)
Source: RNAcentral
UCUCGCCCGCUCGAACGCCGUUCGCCUCGUCCAGUCGAGCUACCGCCUCUGUCCAGUCUCUGUUUCACCUCUAGUCGGUCUCGUUCAGCCACCUCAGGCCGCCGCCCGACCACCUCCGGCCACCGUUGACCCCGCCGGAGCUCCGCCUCGCCCUCAGCCGCCCUUGGCCGCCUCAACCGGCCCCGAAUCUGCCCCGACCAGCA